UGGGGAAUAUUGCACAAUGGAGGAAACUCUGAUGCAGCGACGCCGCGUGGAGGAAGAAGGUCUUCGGAUUGUAAACUCCUGUCUUUGGGGACGAUAAUGACGGUACCCAAGGAGGAAGCACCGGCUAACUACGUGCCAGCAGCCGCGGUAAAACGUAGGGUGCAAGCGUUGUCCGGAAUUACUGGGUGUAAAGGGAGCGCAGGCGGAAGGGCAAGUUGGGAGUGAAAACUAUGGGCUUAACUCAUAGAUUGCUUUCAAAACUGCUUUUCUUGAGUGGUGUAGAGGUAGGCGGAAUUCCCGGUGUAGCGGUGGAAUGCGUAGAUAUCGGGAGGAACACCAGUGGCGAAGGCGGCCUACUGGGCACUAACUGACGCUGAGGCUCGAAAGUAUGGGUAGCAAA
RNAcentral lists this ribosomal RNA (400 nucleotides) under uncultured bacterium. Its description in RNAcentral is "bacterial SSU rRNA". It matches the Rfam family "Bacterial small subunit ribosomal RNA", at positions 355 to 772 of the family's 1533-position model. The record is from RNAcentral.